This 1458-nucleotide ribosomal RNA is filed under the name Triticum aestivum (bread wheat). RNAcentral describes it as "partial small subunit ribosomal RNA". The record is from RNAcentral. Lineage: Eukaryota; Viridiplantae; Streptophyta; Magnoliopsida; Poales; Poaceae.
AUGCGGCUUCCAAGCCGGUGCUCACUGCUAUCGCCAGCCAGUUCAGUCAAAACUUCCGAUCACCAGGCGACCUCUAAAUCAAGAAGCGAUUCGACAGAGCCGCCGUCUCCGGUGACCGAGGAAGUAGCGGAGCUGAUCUCGAUCAGAGAGAAGUACUCGUCAAUGUACACCAUGUUCAGUUACAGUGAUCUUGCGAGGAUCACCUCCGACUUCUCCCCAGAGCGGGUAGUGGGGAAUGGUGGUGCGAGCCAUGUUUACAGUGGCCGUCGCGAAGACGGCAAGGAGCUGGCGGUGAAGGUCUUGAAAUCUUCAGCGGAGGUGAUGAAGGAGUUCGUCGCGGAGAUCGGCAUCAUCAGCUCCGUCGACCACAAGAACGCCAUGGCCCUCGUCGGGUUCUGCGCCGAGCGCGGCAAGCUCAUGCUGGUCUACGACUACAUGCGCAGAGGCAGCCUGGAGGAGAUCUUGCACGGUGAGAAAGAAUGCAAGGGCUCAAGAUUAGAUUGGCCGGAGAGGUUCACGGUGGCCGUGGGAGUCGCGCGCGCCCUCGAUUAUCUCCACGACGGCGGCCACACCAAGCGUCCGGUGAUUCACAGGGACGUCAAGUCCUCCAACAUCCUCAUCUCCCAAGAUUGCGAACCGAAGCUGUGCGACUUCGGCCUGGCGCUGUGGGCGGCGGACGCGGCGGCGCAGGUCACCGGCGACGACUUGGCCGGCACGUUCGGGUACUUGGCCCCUGAGUACUUCAUGCACGGCAAGGUGAGCGCCAAGAUGGACGUGUACGCCUUCGGAGUCGUCCUUCUGGAGCUCGUCUCCGGGAGGAAGCCGGUGAGCUCCGGUGGCCCCAAGGGCCAGGAGAGCAUAGUGAUGUGGGCGAAUUCUGUCGUGCAAGGUGGGAAGCUGACAGAGCUCGUGGAUCCGAGCCUUCCGACGGACGGCGACAACGCCGGCGAGACCGAGAGAAUGGCCCUCGCGGCUGCACUCUGCAUCCGUCGAGCACCCCAAGCCCGGCCUAGCAUGGCAAACGUAAGAUUUACUAUCGCCAUCUUCAUUUUACUUGGUCGUCUUGUUCGAUCGAUCGUUAGCUGCUCACAACACAUGGUACCGUCUGAACUUGUUCAGGUCCUGAAGCUGCUCGACGGCGACAGCGACGCCGUCCAGUGGGCGAGGUCGCAGCUGGGCAUGCCCAACGCCUGCGACGACAACCACGGCGACGAAGAUUAUUACAGCGCGGUUGCUUCGCCGGACAACAACGACAUCCAGUCGUACAUCAAGCUCGCUCUGCUCGACGGCGGCGAUGAGGAGGAUGACGACGACUCCGCGUCCGUGGGUUGCGCCGCCGACUUCAUCGCCGGCAACAUGUCGCUGGAGGAGUACAUGAAGGGGAGGUGGAGCCGGUCGUCCAGCUUGACUGAAGACGGAGGCUCCAACCAUGGCGGGAGUGCACGGAUUUUUGUGUAG